AAGAAUUUUAAAGAGUGCACUUCAUUGUGGCUCGACAUUUUCUACCAUUCACCCCUAGUGCACCGUAAUACCUUUUUUUUAUUAGACUCUACAAAGUUUAAUGAAUGUAACACUUUUUUUAUAAAGAAAUA
RNAcentral lists this unclassified non-coding RNA (131 nucleotides) under soil metagenome. RNAcentral describes it as "partial internal transcribed spacer 1". The record is from RNAcentral.